This is a long non-coding RNA of Sander lucioperca (pikeperch), 336 nucleotides long. RefSeq lists it as uncharacterized. The transcript is spliced from 3 exons. The record is from RefSeq and is a predicted model, not a curated record. Lineage: Eukaryota; Metazoa; Chordata; Actinopteri; Perciformes; Percidae.
ACCCACCCGGUGCUCUCCUGAUGUUAAAUUAAGCGUACCCGGUUCUGAAGUACCCCUCAGUGCAGUGUGCAUUCGGGGCGGUGCUCAACGUGGGCGGUGUCACAGACGUGACGUUCACAUCUGGCUGAACAUUCUGCUUUAGUUAUAAUCCACAAGUUGCCGUUAAACUUGCCGUUAGACAUAUCUGUCCUAUCUGUCCUCAGAGGUACGAUGUGGAACUGCUGUGGUCUGCGAUCUUCCCAGAAGGAACCAGUUCCUCUGAAGAGCGUGGAGGUGGAGCUGGAGGUGAGGGACCAUGUGGCUACAGUGGUCUCCACUCUGAACUAUGAGAACAAG